UUCACUCAAUCUGAUCGAUUAGGGUUGCAUUUUUUAAGAUCAAAUGACUGCAACUAGCAGCCUUAUGUGUGCAGUUCGGAUUUGAUCCAUCCUGGUUCUAUUAUAUGUAUCAGGACAUUGAAGAUUGGGUAAGUAGUAUUUUUCAAUUAUACCCUGUAUGUUCUUCUAAGAUCCGAUGGUAGUUGCAUCAGUUUAAUGUUUUUUAAAGAAGCUAUUUUUUGUUGUUGUCAUAUUAGACUACUUUCCGCGACUGAAUGAGGCAGUCAAGGUAGUUCACGGUGGCUCUGACCCCAUGGCCAGCCUCAGUCUCCAUGGACUAUGAUGAGAAAUUGUGAAUGCAAAAUUUGAAAUUAAACUGCAGAAUGAGUCAAAUAAUUGGGAGUGAAUAAGUGAUGUAUGUAUGAGAAUAAAAAGGUUUGAUCAUUUCAAAAACACAAAAUUAAUAGAUUUUUAGAGAACUAAUUACUGACUGUGUCUCUGUGUGUGGAA
RNAcentral lists this long non-coding RNA (489 nucleotides) under Zostera marina. RNAcentral's name for it is "long non-coding RNA (ZMAR_LNC006148)". The record is from RNAcentral. Lineage: Eukaryota; Viridiplantae; Streptophyta; Magnoliopsida; Alismatales; Zosteraceae.